Molecule: ribosomal RNA, 550 nt
Filed under: uncultured Bifidobacterium sp.
Lineage: Bacteria; Bacillati; Actinomycetota; Actinomycetes; Bifidobacteriales; Bifidobacteriaceae
Description: bacterial SSU rRNA
Rfam family: Bacterial small subunit ribosomal RNA
Source: RNAcentral
UCCUGGAAACGGGUGGUGAUGCCGGAUGCUCCAGUUGGAUGCAUGUCCUUCUGGGAAAGAUUAUAUCGGUAUGGGAUGGGGUCGCGUCCUAUCAGGUAGUCGGCGGGGUAACGGCCCACCGAGCCUACGACGGGUAGCCGGCCUGAGAGGGCGACCGGCCACAUUGGGACUGAGAUACGGCCCAGACUCCUACGGGAGGCAGCAGUGGGGAAUAUUGCACAAUGGGCGCAAGCCUGAUGCAGCGACGCCGCGUGCGGGAUGACGGCCUUCGGGUUGUAAACCGCUUUUGAUCGGGAGCAAGCCUUCGGGUGAGUGUACCUUUCGAAUAAGCACCGGCUAACUACGUGCCAGCAGCCGCGGUAAUACGUAGGGUGCAAGCGUUAUCCGGAAUUAUUGGGCGUAAAGGGCUCGUAGGCGGUUCGUCGCGUCCGGUGUGAAAGUCCAUCGCUUAACGGUGGAUCCGCGCCGGGUACGGGCGGGCUUGAGUGCGGUAGGGGAGACUGGAAUUCCCGGUGUAACGGUGGAAUGUGUAGAUAUCGGGAAGAACACC